GCAAAUGCUGACGGGAUUCCGGCGGUGGCGAUCGUGGCCUUCAGCGACCCAGAGCCUGGGCUGCAGAUCACGUCAUUCGCACUUUUUGCCAACAAUCUGCCAUCGGCAGUGGUGGAGAAGGUCACUUUUCUUGAUGAUGCUGAGGUGAAGAAGCUUAAGGGAGUGCUUGGCGGGACCGGUUAAGCUCGACGGCCAGCUGGACAUUGGACAACCCCUUUAGUGUUUGUGAGUCUGUGACUGUGAGUGUGUGAGUUCAAGUGUGUUAGAUCCUCUGAGUUGGUUAUGUUUGUUGGGUUUAAUCUUGUGUCAG
RNAcentral lists this unclassified non-coding RNA (310 nucleotides) under Hevea brasiliensis (rubber tree). Lineage: Eukaryota; Viridiplantae; Streptophyta; Magnoliopsida; Malpighiales; Euphorbiaceae. The record is from RNAcentral.